Molecule: ribosomal RNA, 257 nt
Filed under: uncultured prokaryote
Description: partial 16S ribosomal RNA
Rfam family: Bacterial small subunit ribosomal RNA
Source: RNAcentral
UACGUAGGGAGCAAGCGUUAUCCGGAUUUACUGGGUGUAAAGGGUGCGUAGGCGGCUUUUUAAGUCAGCGGUGAAAUUUUGCAGCUUAACUGUAACAGUGCCGUUGAUACUGGGGAGCUAGGAUUUGGUUGCUGUGGGUGGAAUGUGUGGUGUAGCGGUGAAAUGCUUAGAGAUCACACAGAAUAUCGAUUGCGAAGGCAGCUCACAAAGCCAAGAUUGACGCUGAGGCACGAAAGUGUGGGGAUCAAACAGGAUUA